UACGUAGGGACCAAGCGUUAAUCGGAAUUACUGGGCGUAAAGCGUGCGCAGGCGGUUUUGUAAGUCUGAUGUGAAAUCCCCGGGCUCAACCUGGGAAUUGCAUUGGAGACUGCAAGGCUAGAAUCUGGCAGAGGGGGGUAGAAUUCCACGUGUAGCAGUGAAAUGCGUAGAGAUGUGGAGGAACACCGAUGGCGAAGGCAGCCCCCUGGGUCAAGAUUGACGCUCAUGCACGAAAGCGUGGGGAGCAAACAGG
RNAcentral lists this ribosomal RNA (253 nucleotides) under uncultured bacterium. RNAcentral's name for it is "partial 16S ribosomal RNA". It matches the Rfam family "Bacterial small subunit ribosomal RNA", at positions 524 to 776 of the family's 1533-position model. The record is from RNAcentral.